This 266-nucleotide long non-coding RNA is filed under the name Gossypium barbadense (sea-island cotton). Its description in RNAcentral is "long non-coding RNA (GBAR_LNC009593)". Lineage: Eukaryota; Viridiplantae; Streptophyta; Magnoliopsida; Malvales; Malvaceae. The record is from RNAcentral.
AAAAAGCGAGUAUUGAAGAAGAAAAGAUUCAAACGCGUUAAGGUUUUUAUUUCUUUUUUCCUUUUUAUUUUCACUUUUUUUUGUACAUAUAAACAUUUUUUCUUUUUUUCUUUUCUUUCAAAAAUAGUAUACAUAUAUUUAGAUAUAGAAAUAAAAAAGAAAACAAAAAAUAAUACAUUUUUUAAAUUCUGGCCACUGCACACGGUGGCUGGCGACGGCGGCAAAGACGGCGCCGGUCCGGCGCCUGGGUACUGACUGGACCAUGG